RNAcentral lists this ribosomal RNA (550 nucleotides) under uncultured bacterium. RNAcentral's name for it is "partial 16S ribosomal RNA". It matches the Rfam family "Bacterial small subunit ribosomal RNA", at positions 355 to 920 of the family's 1533-position model. The record is from RNAcentral.
UGGGGAAUAUUGCACAAUGGGCGAAAGCCUGAUGCAGCAACGCCGCGUGAGUGAUGAAGGUCUUCGGAUUGUAAAGCUCUGUCUUUUGGACGAUAAUGACGGUACCAAAGGAGGAAGCCACGGCUAACUACGUGCCAGCAGCCGCGGUAAUACGUAGGUGGCGAGCGUUGUCCGGAUUUACUGGGCGUAAAGGGUGCGUAGGCGGAUGUUUAAGUGAGAUGUGAAAUACCCGGGCUUAACUUGGGUGCUGCAUUUCAAACUGGAUAUCUAGAGUGCAGGAGAGGAGAAUGGAAUUCCUAGUGUAGCGGUGAAAUGCGUAGAGAUUAGGAAGAACACCAGUGGCGAAGGCGAUUCUCUGGACUGUAACUGACGCUGAGGCACGAAAGCGUGGGUAGCAAACAGGAUUAGAUACCCUGGUAGUCCACGCCGUAAACGAUGAGUACUAGGUGUAGGAGGUAUCGACCCCUUCUGUGCCGCAGUAAACACAUUAAGUACUCCGCCUGGGAAGUACGAUCGCAAGAUUAAAACUCUAAGGUGAAUUGACGGGGUC